CCUUAUUAUCCUGGAUAGGCAAAAUAGGCACAAAUAGUCACCUGAUGAUUGGUAUUUUUAUCAAAGUGAACUGGAUUUAUUGAGAUCAGGUUUGCAAAGAACCCUAGAAUAAAAGCUAAAGCACAGAGUAAAGUGUUUAAUACAGUUACAUGUCUUUUGUGUAAUAUCCUAACAUCAGGAGAUUUUCUGAUCUUCAAGAAGAAGUUCCAAGGUUCAUUUUAAGGAGUAUCUUGAUGACAUAUUGCCUGUCCUAUUUGUCUGUGUAGAUACGUUCUCUCUCUCGGGGAGAAGGAUCGCAGGGUCAUUUGAGCCGAACACUCUCAGCUCAGAAUAAUAAACUGGAGGAAGAGGGCCCUCAGGGUAGCCAAAAAAAAAAAAACAGCUCUGCGUUAUGGAUGAGUCGUGAAUGCAUGAAGAAGUGUGCAUGACGGAUGUUAGGUACAAGAGUGAAAGGGCGAGCAAAGUUCAGCAAGGUAAUGCACAAACUUUUUAUGUCUUCAUGUAUGUAAUAAUGGCUGAAGAUAUAAAGAAUCUGUGUGCAUUAGGGUUCAAGGGUGUCUUUUUCUCCAACAGGAAAUGUCUUGCUCUUAACAAAACCACAGUUUACACUGGACUAAGCACAAAUGAAAAAAGAAACGGCAGAGAAAGAGGGAGAGCGAAUGAGGGAUUAUGGCAAAAAUAUUUUGUCAAUAGCCGACAGGGCAUUCAAAUACCAACCUUGAAGUUUCCAAGAAGAAGAAAGUUAUUUUUAAAGUUUCUACGAUGCUGCUUGUCCAACCUGUCCAAAGGCUCAUAGCCUACAGAAAGGUGCAAAUUUACACACACACAUACACACACAAAAUUAACACAACACACAAACAAGCCGCAACACAAUGAAAUUGACACAACACAAUGAAAAUGAGCUGCAACACAACGAAAUUAACACAAAACAACGAAAACGAGCCGCAACACAACUAAAUUUACACAACAGAAACAAGCGGAACAACAACGGAAAUAAUCUAGGUAAAACUGCUUUUGAAUAUGCUGCACCGUCAGAUUGAAACUCUCUUCAGAUGAAACUGUGGUUAAAUCAGUUUGUGCCUUUUAGUAAUUUUAAAACACUUUUGCAUGCAGUGGAAAAUUAUUUAAUAAUUUGCAAAUGCUUCUAGUGCUGUAUUUUAUUGAUAUCUUACUGUUGUGACGUAUUGUUGUUUGUCAUAUGUGUAUUUAUAUAACUGGGCUGCCUAUCUUGGCCAGGACACUCCUGUAAAAGAGAUUUUUAAACUCAGUGAGGUUCUCUCCUGGUUAAAUAAAGGCAAAAAAAACAAAAAAAAAACCCACAACACAAUGAAAACAAACAGCAACACAAUGAAAUUAAUACAACACAAUAGAAACAAACAGCAACACAAUGAAAUUAACACAGCACAGCAGAAACGAGCCGCAACACAGUGAAAUUAAGACAACACAACAAAAACGAGCCACAACACAAUGAAAACAAGCAGAGACACAGUGAAAUUAACACAACAGAAACAAGCUGCAACACAAUUAAAUUAACACAGCACAGCAGAAACGAGCCGCAACACAAUGAAAUGAACAAAACAAAAACAAGCCGCAACACAAUGAAAUUAACACAACACAACAGAAAUGAGCUGCAACACAAUGAACAUACCUAGGUGCACAUUUUAGCGAGACGCGAAAUACGUAUCAACAAGUACGUAUCACUGCAGUUUCCAAAAAAAAUGAACACUAGAGGCAGAAAUUUACAGAGUUUCAAUUAAUAAAGUCUAAUUUUCGCAGAAUUACUUGAAGAAUAUCAUGUUGUUACUUCAAAACAAUAUUAAUAUGCUGGGAGAUUUGAAAACUGAUGCUUUUGAACAUUAACAUCGCACAUAUCCAGCUUCAUAUCCGUGGGUUUUCAGAGGUGGAAGGUUUGUUCGGUAGCUCACGGAGUUUGGAGACAAAGUUCGGAGGCGAUGAGCUCCGGUUCGAAUCCCGUGUAACCACGGUUCGACAAAGCAGUACAAAUCUGCAUGUAAGUUAGUUGAAACGACAUCAACAAAUGCAUUUUUAUAUCAGUUUUGCAUUUUUUAACACUAUUGGGUAGGUUUAGGGUUGGGUUUGGUGUAGGGCAUAACUUUUAGUGACGGUCCCCGGAUAUUUGAAUUCUGAACCGCCGCAAUACGUACCAGAAGCAACAUAAUAAAAAUACAGCAAAACGUAACUACAUUAACGUAAUCAAAACGUGCCAGGGUUCACAUAUUAAACCUGUGUUUUAGCGCCACUCAGUGGACAUUUCUCUUUGAAACAGUUGCGAAACGUGCAGUGAGGUACGUAAAAACGGUCUUGCAGAAACAUACCCAGAGGUACAUAUUUUUAUGGGACUGGGUUGAAAUUAACACAACGAAAACGAGCUGCAACACAAUGAAAUUAACACAACACAACAGAAACAAGCCACAACACAACAAAAUUAACACAACACAAUGGAAACAAGAUGCAACACAAUGAAAUUAACACAAUGGAAACAAGUGGAACAACCACGGAAAUAAUCUAGGUAAAACUGCUUUUGAAUAUGCUGCACCGUCAGAUUGAAACUCUCUUCAGAUGAAACUGUGGCUAAAUCAGUUGGUGCAUUUUAGUAAUUUUAAAACACUUUUACGUGCAGUGGAAAAUGAUUUAAUGAUUUGCAAAUGCUUCUAGUGCUUUAUUUUAUUGAUAUCUUACUGUUAUGACAUAUUGUUGUUUGUCAUAUGUGUAUUUAUAUAACUGGGCCACCUAUCUUGGCCAGGACACUCCUGUAAAAGAGAUUUUUAAUCUCAGUGAGGUUCUCUCCUGGUUAAAUAAAGGCAAAAAAAAAGCCACAACACAACGAAAACAAACAGCAACACCAUGAAAUUAACACAACACAACAGAAAGGAGCUGCAACACAACGAAAUUAACACAACACAACACAAACAAGCCGCAACACAAUGAAAUUAACACAACACAACAGAAACGAGCUGCAACACAAUGAAAUUAACACAACACAACAGAAACAAGCCGCAACACAAUGAAAUUAACACAACACAACACAAACAAGCUGGAACACAAUUAAAUUAACACAACACAACAGAAACAAGCCGCAACACAAUUAAAUUAACACAACACAAUAGAAACAAGCCGCAACACAAUUAAAUUAACACAGCACAAUGAAAAUGAGCCACAACACAAUGAAAUUAACACAACAGAAACACAAUGAAAACGAGCCGCAACAC
This is a long non-coding RNA of Cyprinus carpio carpio, 3230 nucleotides long. NCBI's taxonomy places the organism in Eukaryota, Metazoa, Chordata, Actinopteri, Cypriniformes, Cyprinidae. The record is from Ensembl.